GUUCCAGCAGCCGCGGUAAUACGAAGGGGGCUAGCGUUGUUCGGAUUUACUGGGCGUAAAGCGCAUGUAGGCGGGUCGUUAAGUUGGGGGUGAAAUCCCGAGGCUCAACCUCGGAACUGCCUUCAAAACUGGCGACCUGGAGCGUGAUAGAGGCGAGUGGAAUUCCGAGUGUAGAGGUGAAAUUCGUAGAUAUUCGGAGGAACACCAGUGGCGAAGGCGACUCGCUGGAUCAUUGCUGACGCUGAGAUGCGAAAGCGUGGGGAGCAAACAGGAUUAGAUACCCGCGUAGUCC
This 292-nucleotide ribosomal RNA is filed under the name uncultured bacterium. Its description in RNAcentral is "partial 16S ribosomal RNA". It matches the Rfam family "Bacterial small subunit ribosomal RNA", at positions 505 to 796 of the family's 1533-position model. The record is from RNAcentral.